UACGGAGGGUGCAAGCGUUAUCCGGAUUCACUGGGUUUAAAGGGUGCGUAGGCGGGUAAGUAAGUCCGUGGUGAAAUCUCUGAGCUUAACUCAGAAACUGCCGUGGAUACUAUUUGCCUUGAAUAUUGUGGAGGUGAGCGGAAUAUGUCAUGUAGCGGUGAAAUGCUUAGAUAAGACAUAGAACACCAAUUGCGAAGGCAGCUCACUACACAAUCAUUGACGCUGAGGCACGAAAGCGUGGGGAUCAAACAGG
This 253-nucleotide ribosomal RNA is filed under the name uncultured bacterium. RNAcentral describes it as "partial 16S ribosomal RNA". It matches the Rfam family "Bacterial small subunit ribosomal RNA", at positions 524 to 776 of the family's 1533-position model. The record is from RNAcentral.